UACGUAGGGGGCAAGCGUUGUCCGGAAUCAUUGGGCGUAAAGCGCGUGUAGGCGGCUCGGCAAGUCCGCUCUGAAAGUCCAGGGCUCAACCCUGGGAUGCGGGUGGAUACUGUCGGGCUCGAGUCCGGAAGAGGCGAGUGGAAUUCCUGGUGUAGCGGUGAAAUGCGCAGAUAUCAGGAGGAACACCAAUGGCGAAGGCAGCUCGCUGGGACGUGACUGACGCUGAGACGCGAAAGCGUGGGGAGCAAACAGG
This 253-nucleotide ribosomal RNA is filed under the name uncultured bacterium. RNAcentral's name for it is "partial 16S ribosomal RNA". It matches the Rfam family "Bacterial small subunit ribosomal RNA", at positions 524 to 776 of the family's 1533-position model. The record is from RNAcentral.